Molecule: long non-coding RNA, 2255 nt
Organism: Macaca mulatta (Rhesus monkey)
Lineage: Eukaryota; Metazoa; Chordata; Mammalia; Primates; Cercopithecidae
Source: Ensembl
UUUCAAACAUGUAUUUGCUGUGUUGCCAAAGUAGAAAAAGCAGAAGGGAAACAUCAUGGGAAGAAAGACUAUUUUGUUUCUGAUUGCAAGGGUCCUUGGGGCGUAUUAUGUUUAUACUCCUCUCCCAGAUAAUAUUGAGGAACCCUGUUGGCUGGUGUGGAUAGCUGCACAUGUGAAAACGGUAACAAAUUUGGUUUUGUCAGCCGAACCCUUUGGAAAUCAAUCAUUUCAUGAACACUGCAAUGUUCUUUAUGAGCUUUCAAGAAGUCCCACCUACAUCUGGAGAAAAUGUCACUGUGAUGGAGACAACUUUCAAUAAUAUUCCUGUCCAUGUAUAUGUGCCAACACUAAAGUUAGAGAUACUAAGAAGGAGCUUAGUUUAUAUUCAUGGUGGUGGUUGGUGUAUGGGGGAUGCUGGUAUGUGCUCCAUGUUAAAAAUUUUAGUGUAUCAUAUAACAUACAUUUUACUGAAAUGUUGACUCCAUCAUAUCAAGACAUACGUGUCAGAUAACAAAACACUUCAGCUGUCCAAAAUUUAUUUCUUUGGAGCUAUGUAGAUUUAAAAGAACUAUUUUAAAUCUCAUUCUGAAAGAGGGCAUAAUAACUACCCAAAGCUGUAGCAAAUCUCAGAUAAGAAGAGAACUUGUUUCACGAACUUAGACAUUUAUUAUUAAUUGCAGAUUUGAUAGAAAGUUGCAGUAAAAAACAACAAAGUGAGUUGAACAGUGGAUUAAAUAUGAAGAAAUAGAAAUGGUAACUCUAGUCUUUUUGUAAGCUUAAAUAUUAAGGAAAUGAGAAAGAAGGUGUUAGAUUAAAAACACAGAGCUGGCACUUUGGGAGGCCGAGGCAGGCAGAUCACCAGGUCAGGAGAUUCAGACCAUCCUGGCUAACACAGUGAAAUCCCCUCUCUACUAAAAAAAUACAAAAAAUUAGCCAGGCGUGGUGGCAGGUGCCUGUAGUCCCAGCUACUUGGGAGGCUGAGGCAGGAGAAUGGGGUGAACCCAGGAGGCGGAGCUUGCAGUGAGCUGAGAUCACGCCACUGCACUCCAGCCUGGGCAACAGAGCGAGACUCUGUCUCAAAAAAAAAAAAAAAAGAAACAGAGUUGAAUAGGGGUAUUUUAUUUUGAUUUCAUAUUAUAUCAUAUAUAUUUUGUUUAAUGCAUUUAUGUAUUUAUAUAAACAUGAUAUAUUUUAUAUAUAAUUUUAUUUGCUAUAGAAUCUAAAAUUAUUUUAUUUGUAUACAAAUAUAUUUUAUAUUAUAUGUUUUUAUUAUAUAUAUUUUAUAAUUAUGUAUGGGAGGUCUAGGAACAUGAUUAUAAGCUGAAGUUAAGAUGGUGGUAAAUUGAGGUACAUUGGAGAAAUGUGGGGAGUGCUAGCUAGAGGAAGGGAUGGGGGUUUAUCUGACCUAGAGAAUAUGGAAGCAAAUUGGAUUCAAUGUGGAUGGGAAGAAUUGGCAACACACAGGAGGAGGAACAUAUCUUCAUUUGUGACAGAAGGAAAGUAGGUGUUGAUGGGUAUUGAUGUAGAUUGGGAAUGUAAAUUGGAGAAGUAAAUGGGGUGAUUCUAUCAUUUUCUCUAAAUUCAGAUAGUAAAGUCAUCACUUAACAAUGCAGUGAUAUUUCUAACACAAAAACUGAGUAUGACAUCCCCGUUUCCACGAGUCUCUUCUGCCCAAAGACCUUCUUUGAAAACUUUUACAUCAAAGUAUCUGUGAAAAAUGAAAAUACGUUUACUAAGGUAAAGGAACUAAAUAAGAAUAAACUCAGAAAAAAAUAACAUUUGCCUAAUACUAUUUCAAUGUUAAAGGAAAACAUAAAAAUAUGUAUUCUAAUAAAAAAUAUGAGCAUGACUUUUUAUAGUAAAGGUCAAAUAAAAACUUAAGACUUAGUGUGUAUUUGACAUGUCAAGAUUACUCAGCACCUGAUUUUGGAAACGUUACAAGAUAAUAAUAUCUACUCCUCUUUCCAUGGCCCCCAAGAGAUGGGUUUUGUAAGAACCUCAUAUCCUGUUACUUCUCCUUCACCACUGUACGAUUUCUCCUGACACUUGUUACUACCAAAUUCUAUUUAUCUUUCAACAAUUUUCUUAUCUGCAUUUGCCCAAGCCCCAUAGCAAACAAGUGUGACCCAUCCCCAAUUCAUACACAUACCAAAACAAAACAAAACAACAAAACAGAACAAAACACAUUCUUUCUUGUCUGCCAAGAAAAUAUGAAUACCUAAUUCAAGUCUUAGCUCUCUCUAUUUCCUAUUUAC